AAGACCUUGCACUUUUGGAGCGGCCGAUGUUUGAUUAGCUAGUUGGUGGGGUAAUGGCCUACCAAAGCUUCGAUCAGUAGCUGGUCUGAGAGGACGGCCAGCRACACUGGGACUGAGACACGGCCCAGACUCCUACGGGAGGCAGCAGUGGGGAAUUUUGGWCAAUGGGCGCAAGCCUGAUCCAGCCAUGCCGCGUGAGUGAAGAAGGCCUUCGGGUUGUAAAGCUCUUUCAGCCGGGAAGAAAAGGUUGCGACUAAUAAUCGCAAUUCAUGACGGUACCGAAAGAAGAAGCACCGGCUAACUACGUGCCAGCAGCCGCGGUAAUACGUAGGGUGCGAGCGUUAAUCGGAAUUACUGGGCGUAAAGGGUGCGCAGGCGGUUUUGUAAGUCAGAUGUGAAAUCCCCGGGCUUAACCUGGGAACU
This 423-nucleotide ribosomal RNA is filed under the name uncultured bacterium. Its description in RNAcentral is "bacterial SSU rRNA". It matches the Rfam family "Bacterial small subunit ribosomal RNA", at positions 207 to 622 of the family's 1533-position model. The record is from RNAcentral.